GCAUUUAUAGCUAAGAGGUCGAAAGCACUGGACUCAUAAUCCAUUUUUUAUAUAUUAAAUAAUAAAACAACAAUGGUCCAAAUCCAUUUAAAUGCA
This 96-nucleotide transfer RNA is filed under the name Nephromyces sp. ex Molgula occidentalis. RNAcentral describes it as "tRNA-Met". It matches the Rfam family "tRNA". Rfam says of the family: Transfer RNA (tRNA) molecules are approximately 80 nucleotides in length. Their secondary structure includes four short double-helical elements and three loops (D, anti-codon, and T loops). Further hydrogen bonds mediate the characteristic L-shaped molecular structure. tRNAs have two regions of fundamental functional importance: the anti-codon, which is responsible for specific mRNA codon recognition, and the 3' end, to which the tRNAs corresponding amino acid is attached (by aminoacyl-tRNA synthetases). tRNAs cope with the degeneracy of the genetic code in two manners: having more than one tRNA (with a specific anti-codon) for a particular amino acid; and 'wobble' base-pairing, i.e. permitting non-standard base-pairing at the 3rd anti-codon position. The record is from RNAcentral. Lineage: Eukaryota; Apicomplexa; Aconoidasida; Nephromycida.